CCACUGCACCUGAUCCUGAGUUUUGAGGAAUAGCCACACGUGUAUUACCUAUCAAGAUAUAGAAUACAGUACCUUGCAUGUGAUUUACACAGUGAAUGGCCCUGCUUUCGGAGCAAGUUAAUGAUAUAAUAUCCCCAUUUAUAUUCAGAACAGUCAACACUUUCUAGCUUUCAGAAUAAUAAAAGCACCUGCAUUUAAUAUACAUGGAAGAAUGGGAAGGCAAAUAGCAGAUAAGGCACAAUCAGUAGCAUGGACUGAUCACUGAUUUCAGAAUGAGGAAUUAACCCACAAGGGAGCUUCAACCACUAAGGACAUUUUUAGUUAUAUUCUAAAUAUCAAGGUUGGAAAGACAACUGAUUUUCAGAAAGUUUCCAAUGACAGGAGUAGAAAGCAAGAAGGAAUUCAUGGAGAAACUUUUCUUAUUUUAAAAGCGGAACAUUUGUGGCUCUCCCCU
Homo sapiens (human) is the source of this 454-nucleotide long non-coding RNA. RefSeq lists it as uncharacterized. The transcript is spliced from 4 exons. NCBI's taxonomy places the organism in Eukaryota, Metazoa, Chordata, Mammalia, Primates, Hominidae. The record is from RefSeq and is a predicted model, not a curated record.